GUGAGGAAUAUUGGUCAAUGGACGCGAGUCUGAACCAGCCAAGUAGCGUGAAGGAUGACUGCCCUAUGGGUUGUAAACUUCUUUUAUAAGGGAAUAAAGUGAGGGACGUGUCCCUUUUUGUAUGUACCUUAUGAAUAAGGAUCGGCUAACUCCGUGCCAGCAGCCGCGGUAAUACGGAGGAUCCAAGCGUUAUCCGGAUUUAUUGGGUGUAAAGGGAGCGUAGGUUGACAUAUAAGUCAGCUGUGAAAGUUUACGGCUCAACCGUGAAAUUGCAGUUGAUACUGUAUGUCUUGAGUGUACAAGAGGUGGGCGGAAUUCGUGGUGUAGCGGUGAAAUGCUUAGAUAUCACGAAGAACUCCAAUUGCGAAGGCAGCUCACUGGGGUACAACUGACACUGAGGCUCGAAAGUGUGGGUAUCAAACAGGAUUAGAAACCCUAGUAGUCC
This 445-nucleotide ribosomal RNA is filed under the name uncultured bacterium. RNAcentral describes it as "partial 16S ribosomal RNA". It matches the Rfam family "Bacterial small subunit ribosomal RNA", at positions 354 to 796 of the family's 1533-position model. The record is from RNAcentral.